CCUCCAUCCUGCAUGCCACUCUGGCUGCUGCUGGUUUUAUCGGUGUUUGCUACUGCCAGAGCUGAGCAAGUAGCAGCGCACAAUGGAAAAGCCGCACGACCAACACAACCACAACAUAGAUCCCUCAAGCAUGGAAGAUAUUGUGUUUUAGCUGUUUUGGAAAAGUAAACUUCAUUGCUAAACAAGAAACAAGGAUUUUUCCCCUCCCUGUCUGCCUCUAACAUCAGACACCACCAGGGAAGAUGACAGCCUAAUCUACACAUCAGAAAGCAACACUCACAAAAGGACUCAGGGAUACCCAGAGGAAUACACUUCUACUCUCUACAUCUGCUGAGCAAAAUGGAGUUUCUUUGCUACCUAAGAGGACUUUUACAAUCUUUGACUCCUUCUCAGCCUGAAGAAGGGUGUUUGUGCCCAAAAGCUCGCAAAGAAAGGCAUUUUUUGCUACUAUUUAGUUGGUCCAAUAAAAGAUAUUGCU
Long non-coding RNA from Alligator mississippiensis (American alligator), 478 nucleotides. RefSeq lists it as uncharacterized. Lineage: Eukaryota; Metazoa; Chordata; Crocodylia; Alligatoridae. The record is from RefSeq and is a predicted model, not a curated record. The transcript is spliced from 3 exons.